This 213-nucleotide long non-coding RNA is filed under the name Dasypus novemcinctus (nine-banded armadillo). RNAcentral describes it as "lncRNA (ENSDNOG00000051340.1)". Lineage: Eukaryota; Metazoa; Chordata; Mammalia; Cingulata; Dasypodidae. The record is from RNAcentral.
GGAUGAGAAGAAACAAGAAGGGAAGCAAGUAUCUUGAGAAUUGACCUCUUGUAAUCCAAACCCUCCUUCGUGUCCCAAACAGGAAUGUCAAAGCACUUCCCCACAGUGGCGACCUCCUGAGGGCAGGACCCAGCUCGACAGACCUCUGCGUCUCUCGGGACGCCUCCCACCGAAUCAGCGUGCUGAUGGUCCUUAGGACGCGCACAUUGACGC